GGAUGAAGAACGCAGCGAAAUGCGAUAAGUAAUGUGAAUUGCAGAAUUCAGUGAAUCAUCGAAUCUUUGAACGCACCUUGCACUCCUUGGUAUUCCGAGGAGUACGCCUGUUCGAGUGUUAUGAAGCUCUCAAAACGCAAUUGGCUUAAAACCUGAUUGUUGUUUUGGAUUUGAACUUUGCCGUGUUACAACGGCUGGUUUUAAAAGCAUUAGCUGGUACUAGAACGAAUUGGUUCUACUCAACGUGAUAAUUAUCUGAUCGUUGAGGACAUUCCUUUCACGAGGAAUGGCCAUAGUAAAUUCAAUGGACUGCUUCUAACUUGGCUUUAAUUCUGAAUUGGAUUAACCACUUUUCAAAUCUGACCUCGAAUCAGGUGGGACUACCCGCUGAACUUAAGCAUAUCAAUAAGCGGAGGA
RNAcentral lists this unclassified non-coding RNA (417 nucleotides) under soil metagenome. Its description in RNAcentral is "partial contains 5.8S ribosomal RNA, internal transcribed spacer 2, and large subunit ribosomal RNA". The stretch from base 2 to 121 matches the Rfam family "5.8S ribosomal RNA", at positions 35 to 154 of the family's 154-position model. The record is from RNAcentral.